This 468-nucleotide ribosomal RNA is filed under the name uncultured bacterium. RNAcentral describes it as "bacterial SSU rRNA". It matches the Rfam family "Bacterial small subunit ribosomal RNA", at positions 1 to 507 of the family's 1533-position model. The record is from RNAcentral.
AGACGUCUACGAGUUUGAUCCUGGCUCAGGAUGAACGCUAGCGGUAUGCUUAACACAUGCAAGUCGUACGGGAGUUUUUAACUCUAGUGGCGGACGGGUGAGUAACACGUGAGAAUUUGCCUUUAGGAGGGGGAUAACAAUUGGAAACGAAUGCUAAUACCCCAUAUGCUUUUGAGUGAAAUGGAUUUAUCCGCCUAGAGAGAAGCUCGCGGCUGAUUAGCUUGUUGGUAAGGUAAGAGCUUACCAAGGCGACGAUCAGUAUCUGGUUUGAGAGGACGAUCAGACACACUGGAACUGAGACACGGUCCAGACUCCUACGGGAGGCAGCAGUGGGGAAUUUUCCGCAAUGGGCGAAAGCCUGACGGAGCAAUACCGCGUGAGGGAAGAAUGCCUAUGGGUUGUAAACCUCUUUUUCAGGGAGGAAUAAAAUGACGUGUACCUGAAGAAUAAGCAUCGGCUAACUCCGUG